RNA transcript from Felis catus (domestic cat), 600 nucleotides. RefSeq lists it as uncharacterized. Lineage: Eukaryota; Metazoa; Chordata; Mammalia; Carnivora; Felidae. The transcript is spliced from 2 exons. The record is from RefSeq and is a predicted model, not a curated record.
UUCGUACCUCCUUUUGCACUGCAGCUUGUUUUCAUACGCAAAGGCCCCAACUAGCCAGGGUAUUCUUGAAGAAGAACCAAAGCUGGAGAAAGAUCUGUCAUGGUGCCAGUGUCAUUAAGGCAGCAGGGGAUUGGCAUAAAGACAGACGGGUAGACCAGUGGCACAGAAGAGCGUACAGAAAUAGGCCAGCACAUAGACGGUGGCCUUCUAGCAAAGGGGAGCUGCGGGAAGGGAGCCUUCCCCAGAAGUGCUGUGAUUGGUUACUGGUCACGACGCCAUCUGUCGCUUACAUAGUGAUUGGCGGACUGGAGAGCUAGCGGCAGAGCUCGCGCUUGCGGUCGCCAUAUCGCAGUAACUGACGUUUGAACCCUUGUGGUCGGGGUCUGGUGUUAUUCAGCUAAACCGUGGCGACUCCGAUUUGUGCACAUCGGAACCGUGCAAAGCAAGGGGUGCCUGUACUUGAAAGGAAGGGGUGCCGCUUACAUUCCAGGAUGUGGCUGUGGUCUUCGCAGAUUCAGAAUGGAAGGGACUGAGCUCUGAGCAGAGGAACCUACACAAAGAAGUGAUGCUGGAGAAUUACAGGAAUCUGCUCUGUUGGGC